AAAGUCGUAACAAGGUUUCCGUAGGUGAACCUGCGGAAGGAUCAUUAUUGAAUAAAUCUGAUGUGGUUGUAGCUGACUCUCCGGAGUAUGUGCACACCCGUCACCUUUAUAUUUCCACCUGUGCACACACUGUAGUCCUGGAUACCUCUCGUCGCAAGGCGGAUGCGGAGUUUGCCGUGCCAUCGCAAGACGGUCGGCUCACUCUGAAUUUCCAGGUCUAUGAUUUUACAAACCCCAAACGUAUGUUACAGAAUGUUAUCAUCAGGCCUUGUGCCUAUAAAAAUUAUACAACUUUCAGCAACGGAUCUCUUGGCUCUC
Molecule: unclassified non-coding RNA, 318 nt
Filed under: Basidiomycota sp.
Lineage: Eukaryota; Fungi; Basidiomycota
Description: partial contains small subunit ribosomal RNA, internal transcribed spacer 1, and 5.8S ribosomal RNA
Rfam family: Eukaryotic small subunit ribosomal RNA (bases 1-47)
Source: RNAcentral